This 361-nucleotide ribosomal RNA is filed under the name Bacteroidales bacterium. RNAcentral's name for it is "partial 23S ribosomal RNA". It matches the Rfam family "Bacterial large subunit ribosomal RNA", at positions 2551 to 2925 of the family's 2925-position model. Lineage: Bacteria; Pseudomonadati; Bacteroidota; Bacteroidia; Bacteroidales. The record is from RNAcentral.
GGCUGAAGAAGGUCCCAAGGGUUCGGCUGUUCGCCGAUUAAAGUGGCACGCGAGCUGGGUUCAGAACGUCGCGAGACAGUUCGGUCUCUAUCUGUUGUGGGCGUUGGAAGCUUGAGAGGAGCUGACCUUAGUACGAGAGGACCGGGUUGGACAUACCUCUGGAGUACCUGUUGUGGCGCCAGCCGCAUCGCAGGGUAGCUACGUAUGGAUGAGAUAAGUGCUGAAAGCAUCUAAGCACGAAACUCACCUCGAGAUGAGGCUUCCUUUAAGGGCCGUUCCAGACCAGGACGUUGAUAGGCUGCAGGUAUAAAGUCAGUAAUGGCAAAGCCGAGCAGUACUAAUUGCCCAAACGCUUUCUAUU